Molecule: unclassified non-coding RNA, 3059 nt
Filed under: Hevea brasiliensis (rubber tree)
Lineage: Eukaryota; Viridiplantae; Streptophyta; Magnoliopsida; Malpighiales; Euphorbiaceae
Source: RNAcentral
UAUAUAUAUAUAUAUAUAUAUAUUCCUUUUUUUGAUAAGCAGCAAAAUUUUAUUGAGUAAGAAAUAAGAAGAUUAAACCUAGCAACAGAUGAACAAGCACAAGAAAAGCUGAAAAACCAAGAUCCAACCCACUAUGCCAAAUGUCACGGAGUAAGAAGUUUGCUCACCUCAAACUUGCUUCAAACCGUGCGGCCUUAGUCUUCCCCCAAGACUAAGUCAGCCUUUCCACACAACAAGUCUAUAAAGAUAGACUAAUAAGGGUGACAAAGGGUAAAAAUAGUGAGAGAGUAAGGAACAAGGAACACACUUGGAAAGAGUUUGGCAAAGGGAAAGUAACUUUACUACUCAAAGAAAAUUGAUUUACAAGCCUAAGGCUCACAAGAGAGCAAUAAAGUGGGCUAAAUACACAAAAAUACACUUGGAAGCUUUGAAAUGGCUUGAGAGCAUGUGGAGACUCUUGGUUGCCCAAAUGAAGGCCAAAAACCCCUAUUUAUAGCCUUCAUGCCGACUUGGAGUGAUUUGGGCGGCCAAAAUUCGAAAAUUGGCGGGUUGGCAAAAUUCUGGCGGGGAACCUCGUUUUGGCGGGCUGCCAGCGCGGGUGAACCUCGUUUGGGCGGGCUGGCAGCCCGCGCGCGCCCAGCGCUCCGCGCGCCCAACUCCCGCGCGCGCUGAAUCUCGUUUCGCCCGCGCGCGCGCCCGCGCUCUCCAGGCUCUUCCAGAAGCUUCGGCGAGCUGAACCUCGUUUGCCCGCGCGCGCCUGGCGUUCCCGCGCGCCAGUUUGAACCUCGCCCGCGCGUUCGGCCUCCCGCGCGCGCCCAGUCUUUCCCGCGCACGUUUGAACCUCGUUUCCGUACGCUGUCCCGCGCGCCCCGGCCUUUCCCGCGCGCCCGCUCCCGCGCGAUGAACCUCGUUUCGCGCCUUGUCUGCCCGCGCGCUGCUCCCACGCGGCCCGCACGCCCGACGGGCCCGUUGUGCGCCAGACUUGGCCCGUGAACCUCGUUUUGGGCCUCCCAUCGCCCGGCUUGGCCCAGCAAGCGCCCAGCACGCCUCCAGCACCUCUGAACCUCAUUUUGGCGUGCAGUAGGCAGACUUAACCUCAUUUUGGCCUGCUCCUCCCGGCAACUCCCCUGCUUGCCCGGUUGGCCUGUUUGCCCCGAAAAUUGACUCCCGCAAACAUUGCCUCCCAGCAAUGCACCUUCCCUUCGCCCCACAAGGAUUUACACCUACUGAACCUCCCUCGGUAGGCAACCUCGCGGAAAAAAAGUUGGACUUCUUCGGGAGACUACUUUUGUGAAGUGACAUUAUCCCCCACUCAAUCCGCACAACGCCCUCGUCGUAUGGACGUCCUCCCAUGUCUCCCCGCAUGUCCCACAUGGUUGCUUCGGGCUUGCUCUAACUAUGCUCCUGCAGUACCUCCCUCAUCCCUGUGGCUAAGUGCACCAGCUCUUCCCUCGGCUUUGCACUUUCGCCUGCUCUUCCAUGAGCGAUGUCGCCUUCGACCCUCUUGCCUCUGCGGUGACUCUUCCCUUGGGCUUCUGGUUACUGCAUUUUCCCUUGCACAACCCACCUUCUUCCUUGGUGGAUGCCCCUUUUGCAACUUCGGAGUGUGUCCCCUCUUACACUCUUUCGGAUCCUUCUUUGGAGUACCUCCUCCUUUCUCAAGUUGCUUCUUCACCCAAGUAGCUGGUGAAGGAUCUUGCAUCUCAACAUGCAUGGUUGUAAGGGUGUUGGACGACUUCCCUCGCAACAACGGCACCACACAUGUACCACCUCCCACCUCCCUCCGUGAUACACAUGCUGUUGGCGAAUAUCAUUGGGAUCGCCUUGGCUCGGUCCAUGAACUCGACCCCAAGCACGCACUGAUAAUCAUCCAUGGAGACAAUAAAGAAGUCUAAGGUACCAUGCCAGUCUCCAAUGCGUACCUUAGCAUCUCGAGCUAUACCAUGUAUCAGGUUGGGUAUGGAGUUGACUGCCUUUAACCAUCCUGUCUCCUUCUCAUAAGGGAUGCCCAACCUCUUAGCUUCCUCUACCGUCAGGAAGUUGUGGGAUGCCCCGGUGUCCAACAAUGCCCGCAGCUUUUGUCCUCCCACCUCGAUCUGGACAAAAGGUCGCCCCUUCUCAACAUUCACGGUCCCUUUCUCCUGGACCUUCAGGGCACUCAACUGCAAGGAUCCCAUGGUCGCCUCCCUGGGUUGGAAAGGUCUCUCCUCCCUUUCCUCGACCAAUGCCGAGAGCUUGCUCUUCUUUGGACACUCUCGAGCUCUAUGCGGUCCAUCACAAAGAAAGCACGAAAGAGGAGGGCGUUGCAUACCUCGGUCUUCCCUCUGACUCCUAGGAUGCACCUCCUUCGGCUGGUGGGAUUUGGAGCUUCCAUCCUUGCCUCUGCUGUCACCUCCCUCGCUCCUGUCCUUCUGUGGACUGAUUCUGCUCCUUUCACUCCUCUGGAACUCCACGAGGGAUUCAGCUAUGGAGAUGGCGGUAGCUAGAUCUCGUGCUCCACGCCUCUCAAUCUCCAUUCGGGCCCAAGUCUGCAGGCCAUCGGUAAAGGCAAAGAGAGCUUCCGCAUCUGGGUAGUCCGGGAUCUCCAACAAAGUCUCCAUAAAUUCCUUCACAUAGUCCCGAAUACUCCCCUUCUGUGACAGACGCCUCAAUCUGGCCCUUGCUUCGUGCGCGGCAUUCUCCGGGUAAAAUUGCCUCUUGAGCUCCCUCUUGAACUCAUCCCAUGAGGCAAUGGUGCAAAGCCCUUUCUCCAUGUCGCCGUGCCUCCGUCUCCACCAAACCAUCGCAGUAUCCACCAAAUACAAGGGCGCAUGGUCCACCUUCUUGGCAUCAUCCGUAAUGCCAAUCGCCCUAAAAUACUGCUCCAAGCUCCACAAGAAAUUGUCAAUCUCCUUCGCAUUCCUAGCGCCACUGUACACACUUGGCUUCGGAACCUCCACUCGCGAAGGGAUGACCAAGCUAGCCCCGGAAGUAGUGGCAACUCCCCCACGUGCCACGGCCAUAGCAACAAGAGACACUUGCUGCUCUACUUCCUUCAACUUUCCCAUGGCCUUAUCCAA